Molecule: long non-coding RNA, 619 nt
Filed under: Brassica rapa (field mustard)
Lineage: Eukaryota; Viridiplantae; Streptophyta; Magnoliopsida; Brassicales; Brassicaceae
Description: long non-coding RNA (BRAP_LNC000932)
Source: RNAcentral
UACAUUUAACUUAUGUAUUAUAUAUAUAUAUAUAUAUAUUUUUUUUUUUGAAAUGAUUUUUUUUUUAGACAUAGAAUUUUUUAAAACAGAAAGAGUAUAAAAUUGUUAAAUAUGUUAAACUUAGGACAUGGUUGAAAAUUGAAAUUGAAGCUAUAUAAAUAUCUAAGGUUUGUAAAUAGUAACUUCUACAGAAUGUGAGUUUAUUUUGAGUUGGUCUUGUGCAGAAAAGCAAAGAGUAGACUUUGAAAUUACAAAAUUGCUAAAAUAAGAUAUUAGAGAUCUUUAGAAUCCCCUGCGUAAGGGGGGCCAUUAUCAAUUAGAUAUGCAUGGAUCCUUCUUCCCUACCUUACCCUUUAUAAAAUUGGAUACUUAAUUGCCUCGCCUUUUCUGCUGCCUAUGUAGUACUCCCGUUUUUUUAAUAUACGUCGUUUUAAAAAAAAAAUUAUGUUCCAAAUUAUAAGACGUUUUCGAUUUUUUUAUGUAAAAUUUAUUAACAUUUAAUGUUAUAUAACCAAUAAUAAUAUAUAUUUUAUUUUAUUAUUGGUUGAUUUGUAGUUAGGUAAAUAGCUAAUGAUGUUUUUGUUUAGAAAAUAUAAAAAAAUAAUGAUUUUUUAAUCUA